AUUUAAAUAGUUUAAGUAAAAUAUUGAUUUGUGGUAUCAAUGAUAAGAAUUAAUUCUUUUUAAAUC
This 66-nucleotide transfer RNA is filed under the name Blepharipa latigena. RNAcentral describes it as "tRNA-His". Lineage: Eukaryota; Metazoa; Arthropoda; Insecta; Diptera; Tachinidae. The record is from RNAcentral.